This 468-nucleotide ribosomal RNA is filed under the name uncultured bacterium. RNAcentral describes it as "partial 16S ribosomal RNA". It matches the Rfam family "Bacterial small subunit ribosomal RNA", at positions 28 to 507 of the family's 1533-position model. The record is from RNAcentral.
GACGAACGCUGGCGGCGUGCUUAACACAUGCAAGUCGAACGGCAAGGCCCUGCUUUUGUGCGGUGCUCGAGUGGCGAACGGGUGAGUAACACGUGAGUAUCCUGCCCUUCUCUUUGGUGUAACUUCAGGAAACUGGGGCUACUACCGGAUAGGAUCUCCUGCUGCAUUGUGGGCGUUGGAAAGUUUCGGCGGUUGGGGAUGGACUCGCGGCUUAUGAGCUUGUUGGUGGGGUAGUUGCUUACCAAGGCUUUGACGGGUAGCCGGCCUGAGAGGGUGACCGGCGACAUUGGGACUGAGAUACGGCGCAGUCUCGUACGGGAGGCAACAGGGGGGAACAUGGCACAGUGGGAGGGAGCCUGAUGCAGCAACGCCGCGUGCGGGAUGACGGCCUUCGGGUUGUGAACCGCUUUCGCCUGUGACGAAGCGGGAGUGACGGUAAUGAAUAAAGAAGCACCGGCUAACUACGUG